This 462-nucleotide ribosomal RNA is filed under the name uncultured bacterium. RNAcentral describes it as "bacterial SSU rRNA". It matches the Rfam family "Bacterial small subunit ribosomal RNA", at positions 28 to 507 of the family's 1533-position model. The record is from RNAcentral.
GACGAACGCUGGCGGCGUGCUUAACACAUGCAAGUCGAACGGUGACGAGGAGCUUGCUCCUCCGAUCAGUGGCGAACGGGUGAGUAACACGUGAGUAACCUGCCCCAGACUCUGGGAUAACAGUUGGAAACAGCUGCUAAUACCGGAUACGAGACGGAGAGGCAUCUCUACCGUCUGGAAAGUUUUUCGGUCUGGGAUGGACUCGCGGCCUAUCAGCUUGUUGGUGAGGUAAUGGCUCACCAAGGCGACGAUGGGUAGCCGACCUGAGAGGGUGAUCGGCCACACUGGAACUGAGACACGGUCCAGACUCCUACGGGAGGCAGCAGUGGGGAAUAUUGGGCAAUGGGCGAAAGCCUGACCCAGCAACGCCGCGUGAUUGAAGAAGGUCUUCGGAUUGUAAAGAUCUGUCCUAUGGGACGAAAAAAUGACGGUACCAUAGGAGGAAGCCCGGCUAACUACGUG